Molecule: ribosomal RNA, 111 nt
Filed under: Ursus maritimus (polar bear)
Lineage: Eukaryota; Metazoa; Chordata; Mammalia; Carnivora; Ursidae
Source: RNAcentral
GUCUGUGGCCACACCACCCUGAACACACCCGAUUGCAUCUGAUCGCAGAAGCUAAGCAGGGUGGGGCCUGGUUAGUACUUGGGAGACUGGAUGUAACCCAGUUGACAAACC